AGGGUUUGAUUAUGGCUCAGGAUGAACGCUGGCGGCGUGCUUAACACAUGCAAGUCGAACGAAGCGCUUGAACAGAUUUCUUCGGAUUGAAGUUUUUGCGACUGAGUGGCGGACGGGUGAGUAACGCGUGGGUAACCUGCCUCAUACAGGGGGAUAACAGUUAGAAAUGACUGCUAAUACCGCAUAAGCGCACGGUGCUGCAUGGCACAGUGUGAAAAACUCCGGUGGUAUGAGAUGGACCCGCGUCUGAUUAGCUAGUUGGUGGGGUAACGGCCUACCAAGGCGACGAUCAGUAGCCGGCCUGAGAGGGUGAACGGCCACAUUGGGACUGAGACACGGCCCAA
This 344-nucleotide ribosomal RNA is filed under the name uncultured bacterium. Its description in RNAcentral is "bacterial SSU rRNA". It matches the Rfam family "Bacterial small subunit ribosomal RNA", at positions 8 to 334 of the family's 1533-position model. The record is from RNAcentral.